This 394-nucleotide ribosomal RNA is filed under the name uncultured bacterium. RNAcentral describes it as "bacterial SSU rRNA". It matches the Rfam family "Bacterial small subunit ribosomal RNA", at positions 361 to 772 of the family's 1533-position model. The record is from RNAcentral.
AUAUUGGACAAUGGGCGCAAGCCUGAUCCAGCCAUGCCGCGUGGAUGAUGAAGGCCCUAGGGUUGUAAAAUCCUUUCGUUGGGGACGAUAAUGACGGUAACCGGAGAAGAAGCCCUGGCUAACUUCGUGCCAGCAGCCGCGGUAAUACGAAGGGGGCUAGCGUUGUUCGGAAUUACUGGGCGUAAAGCGCACGUAGGCGGAUUGGUCAGUUAGGGGUGAAAUCCCGGAGCUCAACUCCGGAACUGCCUUUAAUACUGCCAAUCUAGAGACCGAGAGAGGUAAGUGGAACUCCUAGUGUAGAGGUGGAAUUCGUAGAUAUUAGGAAGAACACCAGUGGCGAAGGCGGCUUACUGGCUCGGAACUGACGCUGAGGUGCGAAAGCGUGGGGAGCAAA